Molecule: non-coding RNA, 238 nt
Organism: Penaeus vannamei (Pacific white shrimp)
Lineage: Eukaryota; Metazoa; Arthropoda; Malacostraca; Decapoda; Penaeidae
Source: RefSeq, a predicted model, not a curated record
GUCGCACUGUCUCCCUCUCCCAUUCAUUCUUCCGAAGUUGGAUCGCCAGCAUGAAAACUGUCAUUGCAACAACUGUUCUCGUGGUUGUGAUGGGGGCAACUUACGGCUUCUCUGCCCCAGGGAGGCAUGGCUCUGCCCUCCGAGCUGCUAGGGAGGCAAAGGAACAGCCCCUUGCUCGAAUUAAGAGGGAUAUGCAUGAACAUAAUGAAACCAUUGGCACGAAGAGGAGCAUCAUGAU